UACGUAGGGUGCGAGCGUUGUCCGGAAUUACUGGGCGUAAAGAGCUCGUAGGUGGUUUGUCGCGUUGUUCGUGAAAACCGGGGGCUUAACCCUCGGCGUGCGGGCGAUACGGGCAGACUUGAGUACUGCAGGGGAGACUGGAAUUCCUGGUGUAGCGGUGGAAUGCGCAGAUAUCAGGAGGAACACCGGUGGCGAAGGCGGGUCUCUGGGCAGUAACUGACGCUGAGGAGCGAAAGCGUGGGGAGCGAACAAG
This 253-nucleotide ribosomal RNA is filed under the name uncultured bacterium. Its description in RNAcentral is "partial 16S ribosomal RNA". It matches the Rfam family "Bacterial small subunit ribosomal RNA", at positions 524 to 776 of the family's 1533-position model. The record is from RNAcentral.